AGAAGUCGUAACAAGGUUUCCGUAGGUUAACAUGCGGAAGGAUCAUUG
Molecule: ribosomal RNA, 48 nt
Filed under: Lespedeza inschanica
Lineage: Eukaryota; Viridiplantae; Streptophyta; Magnoliopsida; Fabales; Fabaceae
Description: partial 18S ribosomal RNA
Source: RNAcentral